GCGCGGCCUACCUCUGCUACUCCAAGGGCGUCGGCUUCACCGACUACCUCCUGUCCCCCGCUACGUCCAACGCGCCUCGUCACGACCGUGAAAGGGCCAACGCGCAAAAGGCGGAGUGGAGAGGAAAGCGUCUCCGCUGUACACGGGAGAUCCGACGCUUGACCAGGCAUUAGGACAGGUUACUUGUAGGUUUUGCACAGAGGUUCGGAGUAACUACUGAUGGGAUUAGUUUUUCACUAAGUAUCGAAUUACUACUGAUGGGGAUAGUUUCGUGUGACGGAUCGAGGGUAAAUGAAGACAUAGACGAGGCCUAAUGCUGUUACGUCUGCCUUUUAUACUACGUAUAUCUGUAAUCUGCUUGGUCAUUUGUGCGUACAAGUACUUGAUUCUUGGGGAUGCUGUCUAUUGUCCCGAUGUCUCUCUUUCUACAAGUACUUGAUUCCUAGGGAUGCUGUCUAUUAUCCAGAAGGCAUAUGACGAAACUUGGCCCUGUGUGAUA
Molecule: long non-coding RNA, 499 nt
Organism: Lolium rigidum
Lineage: Eukaryota; Viridiplantae; Streptophyta; Magnoliopsida; Poales; Poaceae
Exons: 3
Source: RefSeq, a predicted model, not a curated record